This 402-nucleotide ribosomal RNA is filed under the name Amphithrax aculeatus. RNAcentral describes it as "partial 16S ribosomal RNA". It matches the Rfam family "Archaeal large subunit ribosomal RNA", at positions 2045 to 2646 of the family's 2987-position model. Lineage: Eukaryota; Metazoa; Arthropoda; Malacostraca; Decapoda; Mithracidae. The record is from RNAcentral.
UUAGCUUUUUAAUUGAAAGCUCGUAUGAAUGGUUGAACAAAAGAAAUACUGUCUCUUUUUUAUUUUUUGAAUUUAACUUUUAAGUGAAAAGGCUUAAAUUUUUCAAGGGGGACGAUAAGACCCUAUAAAGCUUUAUAAAUAAAUAGUGAUUUUAUGAAUUAAGAAUAAAAAAAAUAUCUAUUUAUUUAUUAUGUUGGGGCGACACAGAUAUAAAUUAAAGCAACUAUCAGAGAAAAAAACAUAUUAUAAGUGAACAAGAUGGUCCUUAGUAAAGAUUAAAAGACAAAGUUACUUUAGGGAUAACAGCGUUAUUCUUUUUGAGAGUUCAUAUCGAAAAAAGAGUUUGCGACCUCGAUGUUGAAUCAUAAAAUCUUUAUAGUGCAGCAGCUGUAAGAGAGGGCU